GCCUUUGUAGCUCAGAGGUAGAGCGUGGGACUGAAAAUCCCUGCGUCGGUGGUUCGAUUCCGCCCAAAGGCACCA
Molecule: transfer RNA, 75 nt
Filed under: Oscillospiraceae bacterium
Lineage: Bacteria; Bacillati; Bacillota; Clostridia; Eubacteriales; Oscillospiraceae
Description: tRNA-Phe
Rfam family: tRNA
About the family: Transfer RNA (tRNA) molecules are approximately 80 nucleotides in length. Their secondary structure includes four short double-helical elements and three loops (D, anti-codon, and T loops). Further hydrogen bonds mediate the characteristic L-shaped molecular structure. tRNAs have two regions of fundamental functional importance: the anti-codon, which is responsible for specific mRNA codon recognition, and the 3' end, to which the tRNAs corresponding amino acid is attached (by aminoacyl-tRNA synthetases). tRNAs cope with the degeneracy of the genetic code in two manners: having more than one tRNA (with a specific anti-codon) for a particular amino acid; and 'wobble' base-pairing, i.e. permitting non-standard base-pairing at the 3rd anti-codon position.
Source: RNAcentral